AUGGUCACAUGUUGUUUAUAACUGAACCGUCUUUCACUCUUUUUUCCCUGCUCUGCCUCUUUUUCUCGGUGUCUAUCCCACUGUCAGGCUGACCCUGGUGAGAAAGGGCCAAUCGGAGAGCCAGGGGACAAAGGAAUAGAAGGAGACCCUGGGCCCCUAGGACCACCCGGAGGGCCUGGGAAACAGGGCUUUCGUGGGCCAGAAGGAAAACUAGGGCCCCCAGGGAACAGUGGACGGCACGGAAAGAAGGGAGAGAAAGGUCCUCCAGGUCUUGUUGGUGAGAUCGGCACACGAGGAGACAUCGGCCAGUCAGGCGAGCCGGGGCUGAAAGGUGCCAGGGGAACUCGAGGAACACCAGUUAGUUCCCAUUCUUCCUGUCUUUCCUCUCACUUAAUGCUCAGAAUCAGACUGGAACUUUAGUACAGAGAUAAGUGAUCACAUUAAAGUCCA
RNAcentral lists this long non-coding RNA (450 nucleotides) under Cottoperca gobio. RNAcentral's name for it is "lncRNA (ENSCGOG00000019044.1)". The record is from RNAcentral. Lineage: Eukaryota; Metazoa; Chordata; Actinopteri; Perciformes; Bovichtidae.